RNAcentral lists this ribosomal RNA (431 nucleotides) under uncultured bacterium. Its description in RNAcentral is "partial 16S ribosomal RNA". It matches the Rfam family "Bacterial small subunit ribosomal RNA", at positions 29 to 507 of the family's 1533-position model. The record is from RNAcentral.
AACGAACGCUGGCGGCAGGCUUAACACAUGCAAGUCGAACGCCCCGCAAGGGGAGUGGCCGACGGGUGAGUACCGCGUGGGAACAUACCCUUUUCUACGGAAUAGCUCUGGGAAACUGGAAUUAAUACCGUAUACGCCCUACGGGGGAAAGAUUUAUCGGGGAAGGAUUGGCCCGCGUUGGAUUAGCUAGUUGGUGGGGUAAAGGCCUACCAAGGCGACGAUCCAUAGCUGGUCUGAGAGGAUGAUCAGCCACAUUGGGACUGAGACACGGCCCAAACUCCUACGGGAGGCAGCAGUGGGGAAUAUUGGACAAUGGGGGCAAGGCUGAUCCAGCCAGGCCGCGUGAGUGAUGAAGGCCUUAGGGUUGUAAAGCUCUUUAACCGAUGAAGAUAAUGACGGUAGUCAGAGAAGAAGCCCCGGCUAACUUCGUG